Monomorium pharaonis (pharaoh ant) is the source of this 1054-nucleotide long non-coding RNA. RefSeq lists it as uncharacterized. NCBI's taxonomy places the organism in Eukaryota, Metazoa, Arthropoda, Insecta, Hymenoptera, Formicidae. The transcript is spliced from 2 exons. The record is from RefSeq and is a predicted model, not a curated record.
UUAAAUUCGGCGAUAAGCUAACUUUAGAGCAGUGUAAGCGUCUUAUAAAGUUAUUGAAGCAUACGCAAUUUCCCAAUCGAUGUGCACAUGGACGACCGACUAUAAUACCAGUAAUGGAAUUUUCAGAAUUAGGAAAAAGAAACGUCAAGAAAUAUGAGGAAAAAUUAAACUUUGCUUCCUUGAAGAAGACUACAUUAUUGGAAUAGACCAGCAAUCGUAUAUAUACUGUCUAAUGUAAUUAAAAAUAUAAUUAUUAUUCUUAAAUAUAUAUAUAUAAAAUUACAUGUAGAAAUAUAGUUUAUUUAAUAAAAAGAAAUAUUUGGUCCACACAAAAAGGUAUGUUUAUUAUAAAACCAGACAACUAUGUUUAUUGCAAAACUUUUUUUAAUAAAUCGCAAUAUACAUUUUAUGUCAUUGUAACAAAGAGUGAGGCCAAAAAUCGUCUGUUUCUCCAAAUUUAGACUUGAAUUCAGUGUUAAACCAUAGUUAUGUACAAGACAUUGUUCCUUUGAAAGUUUUAAAUUGAGUCUACUUUUUAUCUUUAAGAUAUGAGGGAUCAAAGUUCGCAUAAAAUGAAGGCUAAAAGUUCCUAUCAACUGUUCUGAUUCAUUUUGCGAGAUGCUGAGGUCUUCAUGACUAUGUACGUACAAGAAUCGUACUUUAGCUUUCGAAAGAACUGACGCGGGAUCGAUGUUGUAAGAACCAAUGCACCGCAAUUUUGAAGGGGAUUGAUUCAGAUGACUUCGGUAACUGACUGCUGCAUGAUAGCGCGCGCGGGUACACACAUGCACACACGCGCGCACACGUGUAUAUGUAUAUACAUAUCUAAGAUCUAAACUUUAUGACAUAUAUCAUAAUCUUAUUUUCUGUACGUAGAUUUUUUGGAAGUAGUGGAUAAGGCACUUCAUGCAGAAUGUAAAUUUUGACCUCUUAUAUCUUGAAGAUAAUGAGUGGGCUCAAUCUGAAACUUCUAGGGUAUUAAUAUCUUAUAUAUAACUAUUGUUUAGCCUCAAAUUCAACUCGAAAUUCAAGGGCAAGGUCUGUAGAUGAACGA